RNAcentral lists this ribosomal RNA (630 nucleotides) under uncultured beta proteobacterium. Its description in RNAcentral is "bacterial SSU rRNA". It matches the Rfam family "Bacterial small subunit ribosomal RNA", at positions 30 to 648 of the family's 1533-position model. The record is from RNAcentral. Lineage: Bacteria; Pseudomonadati; Pseudomonadota; Betaproteobacteria.
AUGACGCUGGCGGAAUGCUUACACCCUGCAGUCUGUAACGGCAGCAUGGAGAGCUUGCUCUCUGAUGGCGAGUGGCGAACGGGUGAGUAAUAUAUCGGAACGUGCCUAGUAGUGGGGAACAACCAGCCGAAAGGUUGGCUAAUACCGCAUACGACCUACGGGUGAAAGCAGGGGAUCUUCGGACCUUGCGCUAUUAGAGCGGCCGAUAUCUGAUUAGGUAGUUGGUGGGGUAAAGGCCUACCAAGCCGACGAUCAGUAGCUGGUCUGAGAGGACGAUCAGCCACACUGGAACUGAGACACGGUCCAGACUCCUACAGGGAGUGCAGCAGUGGGGAAUUUUGGACAAUGGGGGAAACCCUGAUCCAGCCAUUCCGCGUGAGUGAAGAAGGCCUUCGGGUUGUAAAGCUCUUUCGCAAGGGAAGAAAUUUUAUUGUCGAAUAAACAGUAAAGAUGACGGUACCUUGAGAAGAAGCACCGGCUAACUACGUGCCAGCAGCCGCGGUAAUACGUAGGGUGCGAGCGUUAAUCGGAAUUACUGGGCGUAAAGCGUGCGCAGGCGGUCUUAUAAGUCAGAUGUGAAAUCCCCGAGCUCAACUUGGGAACUGCGUUUGAAACUGUAAGACUAGAGUG